AUGGCAAAGAUGGGCAGGCUACUAGAUUUCAGGUUCCAUCUAAUGUGUAAAGCACGAGGUUUGAAUCAUCUCAUCUUUACAAAUGAUUUGAUGAUAUUUUAUAAAGGGCAUGAGUUAUUUAUAAAAAAAAAAGUGAAAGAUGCAUUAGAUCUCUUCUCAAGAGUGACUAAACUGUCAACUAACAAGGAGAAGUCUAGUUUAUACA
RNAcentral lists this long non-coding RNA (205 nucleotides) under Capsicum annuum. RNAcentral describes it as "long non-coding RNA (CANN_LNC019441)". Lineage: Eukaryota; Viridiplantae; Streptophyta; Magnoliopsida; Solanales; Solanaceae. The record is from RNAcentral.